Molecule: long non-coding RNA, 3269 nt
Organism: Neofelis nebulosa (Clouded leopard)
Lineage: Eukaryota; Metazoa; Chordata; Mammalia; Carnivora; Felidae
Exons: 5
Source: RefSeq, a predicted model, not a curated record
GGCUCGGGGCGCCUGUGGCUCCGGUGGCGCCGGGACGGCCGCUCGCGGAGCUUCGGAGACCUGUGGCUGAGGGGCAGCCGGCGUCGGCUUGGCCUCCGGCGUGGGCGAGCUUCCGCGUAGCAGGCGCCUCCCAGGCUGACUCGAGGGCGCCCCCGCUCUUUGAAUUUCUACGGCGGGAAUGCGUCGGGACUGAGCCCGAGUCUCCCGAGGCUGACUCGUGCCCCCGCCCCGCCCCGUUCAUCUGCGUGUCUGAAAACGUCGUGUUUGAACCACCCACGGCCAGGGCACCUGAGGCGGCUGUUCAAAAAUGUAGCUCCCCGGGCCCCGCCCCAGCGUGCCUCCCGGAGCCCCAGGCUCUUCUCCGGUUGCAGUCUGAAAAUAGCACACGGCGAGGCGCAAGGGGGACCCGAAAGAGGCUCUGUCCUGCAGGAAGUCUAAUUCCCGAGCCUUUGGUGGUAUUGGGACCUGGGCCAGAGGAGCUGACCUCAGCCAGACAGCACCCCGGGAUUGUGCUCGUUGAUACCAGAGGCUUACAGAGCAGAGACACAGCGGCCGUCAUCUCCUGGGCGCCCUGAGUCACAGCCCAGCAGGUUGACUGCGUUACUAAGCGUGAGCUAACCUGCUAUGUGGAGCAAACUCUGCGCCCAUGUAAUCCCAUACUCCAGUCAGCGGCUGGGUUUGCUCAUACGUUCUUGCUCAGAAUCUUUGCUCCAAGAAAAGAGGAGAAAUCAUAAAUCGGAACCACACUUUGGUUUCUCCAUUUGAACACCAUUUCGUGCGCUAGUUGGGAAAAGAAUAAAGAUUGAAGAAGUCCUACGGUGAUGCGAAUUGAAGGAAAUUUGGAUCCUGUGUUUGUAAGGUCGCUUUUCUUUCAAAGACGCUACCACGCUGCCCCUGUAGAAACAGCCAAGAGAAGAAGGGACCAUAUGUAUGGAUGGGGCUGGUACGAUCCAUGCUUCAACAGCAGUCCCUUCAACCUUGCUUGAAUGUGGAGGUUCGAUAGACCACCAGACUCCAGAGAUAAACUACCUUGGCUUGAAAGGAACGCUAUCAUCACUGAUAGCUGGCCACUAUGUUGUUCGCCAGCAUAUGAAAGCUACGCUGAAUUGUUUAACAACGUUGUGUUUCAACUGAUGAGUAGAAAACUUCACUGAACCAUGCACAAUAAUAGAGAUUGGACUGAUGGUUCGCAAAGACGAAAGAGAUGGACAGCACCGAGAUGCCAAUAAUUUUAAAUAUAAUCUUAAAAAAAAACUUCAUUCUUAAAGUGAGUGAGAACAGUAUACAUAAGGAAGAGGCAACUGCCCUGGUCAUUGUCACACCCGGAUGUGAUGACGGUACCUGCCGCGGGCAUCUUGCAAGCAGACAGGAGCCAGUUUGCAGACAAGACCAGCACAGCAAGAUGACAUGGCCGAAUGUGGACCCGAGUCCUUCGUGAUACUGUGGAGCUGAUCAAGUAACCCAGGAGUGUGCUUGCCGUGGGCGUCCUGGCAUCUAAGGUGCUGACACUACAGAAAGGGGAAAGGAAGCCCAACAGGGACUCAACAUAGACAAUGAUAUUAUUGAAAACAGAGCAACUACUGGAAGAAGGAAUUCUCAGUCAACAACAGAGAAAACCUGAAACAAAAGUUGAACUUAACGCUUAGUUCACAUUGUUAAAAACAAGACAACAGGACCAAAAUGGGAUCACUUAUGAUUCUGUGAAUUUCACCUGGUAUGGCAAAAGGGAUUUUGCAGAAGGAUUAAGAACCUUAAGAUGGGAGACCGUUCUGGUUGUUCUGAAUAGGCUGAUGUCAGCACAGCACUCCUUGUGUAGGAUGGUCAAAGGCGGAGUCCAAGCCAGAGGAGAAGGUGGCGGGAUGCAGGGAGCAGAAAAUGGAGCAUUGUGCUUUCCAGACAGAGGCAGGGGCCGCAGACAGAGGAAUACGGGAGCCACCAGAAGCUGAAAAAAGUCAAGGAAAUGGAUUCUCUUGUCAGCACCUCCAGAUAGAACCUGCCCUGACGAUGCCUUGAUGUUAGCUCCUUGUGAAAGUGAUUUCAGACUUCUGAAGUCCAGAACUGGCGGGGAACAAAUAUUCGUUGUUUUGAACCACUAAGUUUGUGAUAAUUUGUUACAGCCUCAAUAAGGAACUAACAGAUAGGUUUUGGGGGGAAAAAUCCCAUGAUGUGAUAGGUGAAACUCGGUAAUAAAAAUCUAAUUACGAGUGGUACAAAUGUGAAUUACCUGCUCAUGGGUCUCCUGUUCUGAUCCCAGUUCAACCCCUCCUCCGAAAAAUUUCAAUCCCGUCAGCAACGCAGGAGUCGCCACCUUCGCUUGACCGAGAUGGCAUUCUUUUCCUCUUGGGUCAAGGAAGAUCACUAGAACCCAAGAUGCGCAAGAAAUAAAGAAAUGGAUUGGUGGUAGACACAGAUGAGCACAGAGGGAAGGCUAUGUGAAGAUCCGCAGAGAAGACGGCCAUCAGCAAACCAGAGAGUCCCUAGAAGAAACCAGCACAGCUAACCCCUUGGUCUUGAACUUCCAGCCUCCAGAUCUGUGAGAAGAGAAAUUUCUGUUGUUUAAGCAGCAUCGAAAAAGAAAGUACCCUGGGUCCCUAAAGUACCUAGUUAGUGGUAUGUUUUAUGGCAGUCCUGGCAAAUGAAUAUAAGUAUCUAUUGAAAAUUAACGUUUAUUAAAUCAUGAAACAAUUACCAUUCCUCUGAAUAUCUCUGUACUACUUAUAUAAUGAUACAUUAAAGCAUAAGGAUUCAAGAAAUAUUUUUUCUGCUGCAAACUUAACAUUUCAACUUAUUAUUUUUUUUAAUGUUUAUUUGUUUAUUUUGACAAGGAGAGAGAGUGUGUGAAUAGACAAGGGGCAGAGCGAGAGGGAGAGAGCUACCAAGCAGGGGCUUGAACUCACAAACCGUGAGAUCCUGACCUGAGCCGAACUCAAGGGUGGGAUGCUUAACCGACUGAGCCACCCAGGCUGCCCCCUAACUUAACAUUUCAAACCAUUUAAAGUCACAAACACGAUGUGUUACAUUAACACCUUAAGAAGCAAAAAGAGGGGGCACCUGGGUGGCUCAGUCGGUUAAGCGACCGACUUCGGCUCAGGUCAGGAUCUUGCGGUCUGUGAGUUCGAGCCCCGCGUCGGGCUCUGUGCUGACUGCUCAGAGCCUGGAGCCUGUUUCAGAUUCUGUGUCUCCCUCUCUCUCUGACCCUCCCCCGUUCAUGCUCUGUCUCUCUCUGUCUCAAAAAUAAAUAAACGUUAAAAAAAAAAAUUAAAAAAAAA